RNAcentral lists this long non-coding RNA (603 nucleotides) under Sus scrofa (pig). RNAcentral describes it as "lncRNA (ENSSSCG00040044017.1)". Lineage: Eukaryota; Metazoa; Chordata; Mammalia; Artiodactyla; Suidae. The record is from RNAcentral.
UAUUACCUCUCCAAAACAAUUAGUAAAAUAUCAUUAAAUAAUAAAUUAGACUUUUACCCAUUAACUUGGAGAGAUUUUUUCUUUUUCCUUUUUUACAGCUGCACCUGCCUCCUAUGGAAAUUCCUGGACUAGGAGUCAAAUCGCUGGAUUUAGUCACAUGGCUACCUCUAGCUGCAAGCACGGAUGGGUAGGAGGAGAGGCGUUGCUCGGUGGCAAACCAGUCACAGAAGGUGCUCUGCAAGAUGGCAUCACCCAGUUUUCCUACAUCUCAGCCGUUGCCUGCCUCGGGCCUCCACGGGUCCUGGCAACGGUAGACAUUCCUGGCGGCGGGAGGAGGGGUUCCUUCACUCCCAUCUCUUUCCAGGACUGCAAACUCCUCCUCAACGUCUCAGCAAGUAAGUCCGGACAUCCUUUCACUUGUCUACGGUGCACAGCGGACCUCCUCUUGUCUCAACCUCUUCAUCUAGGUCAUGCUCCAGGGCCAUAGCCCUUCCCCAUCAUGCAAUCGCAUUUAAGGGGUCUCUCCAAAUACCAGAAGCUUUUCUCCUCUGUGUGGAAAUCUCCCAAGGGGCCAGCCGGCUGCCACCACAGCGACUUUUAAGC